GCAGUACUGAGAUUUUAGAGAACAGCCAGCUAACCUGGACAUAACAUAUUGCUGCAAUACCUCCUGUUGUCUCAGUGAAGUGAGUAAAGGCUGAAUGCUGCAGAAUUCUGCAACAGAAGGAAAAUAAUCUCCUGAGAUUAAAACCUGAUGGACAAGAAAGAAAAAAAGAACUGAAAUGAAAGCUUUUCCAUCUGAAAAAUGAUCACUUUAAAAUGAACUGUGAAA
This is a non-coding RNA of Chrysemys picta bellii (western painted turtle), 225 nucleotides long. The record is from RefSeq and is a predicted model, not a curated record. NCBI's taxonomy places the organism in Eukaryota, Metazoa, Chordata, Testudines, Emydidae.